UACAGAGGAGCCAAGCGUUGUCCGGAUUGACUGGGCGUAAAGCGCACGCAGGCGGAUGCGCGCGUGGGGUGUGAAAUCUGGCCGAUUAACGGCCAGGCGCCAUCCCAUACGGCGCGUCUGGAGUGAUGCAGAGGUCGAUGGAAUUGCCGGUGUAGUGGUGAAAUGCGUAGAGAUCGGCAGGAACACCCAGGGGGAAACCAGUCGACUGGGCAUCUACUGACGCUGAGGUGCGAGAGCGUGGGGAGCGAACCGG
RNAcentral lists this ribosomal RNA (253 nucleotides) under uncultured bacterium. Its description in RNAcentral is "partial 16S ribosomal RNA". It matches the Rfam family "Bacterial small subunit ribosomal RNA", at positions 524 to 776 of the family's 1533-position model. The record is from RNAcentral.